CCUACGGGGGGCUGCAGUAAGGAAUAUUGCGCAAUGGGCGAAAGCCUGACGCAGCGACGCCGCGUGGGGGAUGAAGGUCUUCGGAUUGUAAACCCCUUUCGGGAGGGAAGAUGGAGCGAGCAAUCGUUCGGACGGUACCUCCAGAAGCAGCCACGGCCAACUUCGUGCCAGCAGCCGCGGUAAUACGAAGGUGGCAAGCGUUGUUCGGAUUCACUGGGCGUACAGGGUGUGUAGGCGGUUUGGUAAGCCUUCUGUUAAAGCUUCGGGCCCAACCCGGAAAGCGCAGAGGGUACUGCCAGGCUAGAGGGUGGGAGAGGAGCGCGGAAUUCCCGGUGUAGCGGUGAAAUGCGUAGAGAUCGGGAGGAAGGCCGGUGGCGAAGGCGGCGCUCUGGAACAUACCUGACGCUGAGACACGAAAGCGUGGGGAGCAAACAGGAUUAGAUACCCCAGUAGUC
Molecule: ribosomal RNA, 455 nt
Filed under: uncultured Nitrospira sp.
Lineage: Bacteria; Pseudomonadati; Nitrospirota; Nitrospiria; Nitrospirales; Nitrospiraceae
Description: bacterial SSU rRNA
Rfam family: Bacterial small subunit ribosomal RNA
Source: RNAcentral